GACGAACGCUGGCGGCGUGCUUAACACAUGCAAGUCGAACGGUAAGGCCCUUCGGGGUACACGAGUGGCGAACGGGUGAGUAACACGUGGGUGAUCUGCCCUGCACUUCGGGAUAAGCCUGGGAAACUGGGUCUAAUACCGGAUAGGACUCCGGACUGCAUGGUCUGGGGUGGAAAGCUUUUGCGGUGUGGGAUGGGCCCGCGGCCUAUCAGCUUGUUGGUGGGGUGAUGGCCUACCAAGGCGACGACGGGUAGCCGGCCUGAGAGGGUGACCGGCCACACUGGGACUGAGCUACGGCCCAGACUCCUACGGGAGGCAGCAGUGGGGAAUAUUGCACGAUGGGCGCAAGCCUGAUGCAGCGACGCCGCGUGAGGGAUGACGGCCUUCGGGUUGUAAACCUCUUUUAGCAGGGAAGAAGCGAGAGUGACGGUACCUGCAGAAAAAGCACCGGCUAACUACGUGCCAGCCGCCGCGGUAA
RNAcentral lists this ribosomal RNA (478 nucleotides) under uncultured bacterium. Its description in RNAcentral is "partial 16S ribosomal RNA". It matches the Rfam family "Bacterial small subunit ribosomal RNA", at positions 28 to 523 of the family's 1533-position model. The record is from RNAcentral.